CCUAACUUAGCGGCGGACGGGUGAGUAAUACUUAGGAAUCUGCCUAUUAGUGGGGGACAACAUUCCGAAAGGGAUGCUAAUACCGCAUACGUCCUACGGGAGAAAGCAGGGGACCUUCGGGCCUUGCGCUAAUAGAUGAGCCUAAGUCGGAUUAGCUAGUUGGUGGGGUAAAGGCCUACCAAGGCGACGAUCUGUAGCGGGUCUGAGAGGAUGAUCCGCCACACUGGGACUGAGACACGGCCCAGACUCCUACGGGAGGCAGCAGUGGGGAAUAUUGGACAAUGGGGGGAACCCUGAUCCAGCCAUGCCGCGUGUGUGAAGAAGGCCUUAUGGUUGUAAAGCACUUUAAGCGAGGAGGAGGCUACCUAGAUUAAUACUCUAGGAUAGUGGACGUUACUCGCAGAAUAAGCACCGGCUAACUCUGUGCCAGCAGCCGCGGUAAUACAGAGGGUGCGAGCGUUAAUCGGAUUUACUGGGCGUAAAGCGUGCGUAGGUGGUCUUUUAAGCCGGAUGUGAAAUCCCUGAGCUUAACUUAGGA
Molecule: ribosomal RNA, 538 nt
Filed under: uncultured Acinetobacter sp.
Lineage: Bacteria; Pseudomonadati; Pseudomonadota; Gammaproteobacteria; Moraxellales; Moraxellaceae
Description: bacterial SSU rRNA
Rfam family: Bacterial small subunit ribosomal RNA
Source: RNAcentral